RNAcentral lists this long non-coding RNA (1134 nucleotides) under Mytilus galloprovincialis (Mediterranean mussel). Lineage: Eukaryota; Metazoa; Mollusca; Bivalvia; Mytilida; Mytilidae. The record is from RNAcentral.
CAGUGUGAUUAGAAGUUGAUGUAUGUAGAUCUGAGAUGCAUAUAUGUUUAGACUUUCAUGAGCUAUGUUGCAGUGUGUAACAUAAAGAAUCACAUAGUAUGAUUAGAAGUUGAUGUAUAUAGAUAUGAAAUAUGUAUAUAUCUAUAGAGUUUAAUGUUUAUCUGAUUAAGAUACAAGUACAUGUAUGUAUGAAGUUUUGAUUGUGUUCUUCUAUUUACAGAAUCAAGGAAAACAGUUUGAGAAAUUAUCCAUCGAUUCAAGAUUUGCAAAACAUUUGUCUGCAUAACCAUCUAUUGCGGAAGCUUCCGGUUCAAUAUGUCGUAUUUGACGUUCCGAUUGUCGACUUGAAACUGAUAUUGGUCCAGUUUAGUGGUUGAAGAUUUAUCUUCAAUUAGCAAUAUCUCAAAAGACUUUUUAUAUCAGCAUCUUAUUCUGAACUGUUUCAUUUCCUUUGUUUCGAUGUUACUGCGAGCAACUAAUCCUAUAUCUGUGUUUGUCUUGUUUAUAGCCUAUUGAAUUAGAAAUUAAAUGCUUUAAAUUCGGACGAGCAGGGCGAGGGAGAAUUUAAAUGUAUUUUAUUUCGUUUGAAAUAGGGUUUUUCCCGUUUGCUAUUUGUAGUUAAUAUUUACAGAUGGGAACUAGUAUAACUAGUUCGGAUACUGGUUUUGUAACAGUAUGUACUAUUUAUAAGUUUGGUGUUAGGUGCAGGAGGCACGAGGAAAGUUUUGGCGGUUUUUAUGGGUGGGGUUUAAAGGUACUAUAUAAAGUUUGGGAUUUAAAUGUAUUAGUAUCGAAGGUGCUCGCAGUUACGUCGGAUUGAAGUUGGUCACAUAGGUAUAUGUGCAGUUGCUGCUAUGUUUAUUGUACGUACAGGCGUUGGAGGCAUUAGCCGGGGGGAAAAGAAACGAUGCGAAAGAGGAACAAUGUUAUAUGUCAUGAUCAUGUGUUUAUAUAAUGUUUCGAUUGAAGAAAUAUGUACAAUUCAGUAAAAUAAAAUAUUGUAUCGCAAGAGAAAAUAAGAUGUUACUGCGAGCAACUAAUCCUAUAUCUGUGUUUGUCUUGUUUAUAGCCUAUUGAAUUAGAAAUUAAAUGCUUUAAAUUCGGACGAGCAGGGCGAGGGAGAAUUUAAAUAUA